This 927-nucleotide ribosomal RNA is filed under the name uncultured bacterium. Its description in RNAcentral is "bacterial SSU rRNA". It matches the Rfam family "Bacterial small subunit ribosomal RNA", at positions 33 to 952 of the family's 1533-position model. The record is from RNAcentral.
ACGCUGGCGGCAGGCUUAACACAUGCAAGUCGAACGGUAGCAGGUAAGUACUUGUACUUAUGCUGACGGGUGGCGGACGGGUGAGUAAUGCUUGGGGAUCUGGCUUAUGGAGGGGGAUAACGACGGGAAACUGUCGCUAAUACCGCGUAGAAUCGAGAGAUGAAAGUGUGGGACCUUCGGGCCACAUGCCAUAGGAUGAACCCAAGUGGGAUUAGGUAGUUGGUAGGGUAAUGGCCUACCAAGCCGACGAUCCCUAGCUGGUCUGAGAGGAUGACCAGCCACACCGGGACUGAGACACGGCCCGGACUCUACGGGAGGCAGCAGUGGGGAAUAUUGCGCAAUGGGGGGAACCCUGACGCAGCCAUGCCGCGUGAAUGAAGAAGGCCUUCGGGUUGUAAAGUUCUUUCGGUGACGAGGAAGGUUGUUGUGUUAAUAGCGCAACAAAUUGACGUUAAUCACAGAAGAAGCACCGGCUAACUCCGUGCCAGCAGCCGCGGUAAUACGGAGGGUGCGAGCGUUAAUCGGAAUAACUGGGCGUAAAGGGCACGCAGGCGGACUUUUAAGUGAGGUGUGAAAUCCCCGGGCUUAACCUGGGAAUUGCAUUUCAGACUGGGGGUCUAGAGUACUUUAGGGAGGGGUAGAAUUCCACGUGUAGCGGUGAAAUGCGUAGAGAUGUGGAGGAAUACCGAAGGCGAAGGCAGCCCCUUGGGAAUGUACUGACGCUCAUGUGCGAAAGCGUGGGGAGCAAACAGGAUUAGAUACCUUGGUAGUCCACGCUGUAAACGCAGUCGAUUUGGGGAUUGGGCUUUGAGCUUGGUGCCCGUAGCUAACGUGAUAAAUCGACCGCCUGGGGAGUACGGCCGCAAGGUUAAAACUCAAAUGAAUUGACGGGGGCCCGCACAAGCGGUGGAGCAUGUGGUUUAAUUC